RNAcentral lists this long non-coding RNA (1115 nucleotides) under Mus musculus (house mouse). RNAcentral's name for it is "RIKEN cDNA 4930412M03 gene (4930412M03Rik)". The record is from RNAcentral. Lineage: Eukaryota; Metazoa; Chordata; Mammalia; Rodentia; Muridae.
AGGAAGCGCGGGCGUCUGCCCUCCCGCCGCCCGUUUCGAGGUCGUGGAGAGGAGAGGAAAUGGCCCCGGAGCAACCACGCAGCUGCCUGAUCGUCUGGCCCGACCGCGCCUCAGUAGAUUUGGGUCCUGGUCUGAGCAGCCGGGCUGGUGCGGGUGUCCUCACUAGGAUAAUGAAUACAGCUCCACUACCUAUACUACCCAAGACGACCCCUCACACGCUCUGCGAGGAAACCGGUCUUCGGACCUGUGCCCCCAACCUGGUGGCCUGCACCAGUGAUAGGGCAAUUUGACUCCUAGUCGUGGGGGCUUGUGAUACUAUCUCUACCUACAGACACCCACUGCCUGUCACUGCACAGUAAACCUUCCUGCUCCACAGGGCUGCCUCCCCACUGGAAUUCCCACCGUGUUCCUGGUUCUGGAAAGUCUGUUUUCCCGGGUGGCCAUGAUACCCUCCCUACUACUCCACUUCUUCCUUGCAGUCACAAGCAGCAGAGUGGAAUGGGAGCUCGACACUGACUAGGCCUUUAACAGUCCUAAGUGCAACAGAAGAGCUGCAGCUUUCAGACAGACAGAGUGAAAGGUUUCUCAUUAGCAUCCCUCAACCUCGGGAAGCUUCUCCCGGUCCCGAAGGCUAAGAGCCUUUUCCAGCAGCCAGCCUUGCAAUGCUACCCUUCUCCUCCACCUCUGAAGCUUUGAGAUUGGGCCACCAUGUUGGACUAGGAUUGCAGAAGGCCAUUGCUGGUUCUGCACUUUCCUUUGAGCUUAGACGUCACAACUCAUCAUGCAAUUGUGAUUAUUACAGUCCUUUCUGCAGUGCCAGUGUACCCACCAGGCUGGACACUUCAAAAUGGCAGGGCUAUAUCUGUGUGGCUACUACUACCUUGCAGCAAGGCUUGUUGAGCCCUUACAGUACUAUAGAUGUCUUGGCCAGCUGGUUUGUUGUUAUAGCGACAGUGGACUGCAGUGUUCUGCUGAGACAACCGAGAAUUCCUCCAGACAUGACUCAAACAUCCCCAAGUGACAAAAUUACCUAGAAUUGAUAGCCUCCUCUCUCUCCACAGCCUAUCCUGGCGUCCCUGAAAUAAAUGAAUGCACAGCUCUGCUCUGUCUUAGAA